AACGAACGCUGGCGGCAUGCCUAACACAUGCAAGUCGAACGAGAUCCUUCGGGGUCUAGUGGCGCACGGGUGCGUAACGCGUGGGAAUCUGCCCUUAGGUUCGGAAUAACAGUUAGAAAUGACUGCUAAUACCGGAUGAUGACGUUAAGUCCAAAGAUUUAUCGCCUGAGGAUGAGCCCGCGUAGGAUUAGCUAGUUGGUGCGGUAAAGGCGCACCAAGGCGACGAUCCUUAGCUGGUCUGAGAGGAUGAUCAGCCACACUGGGACUGAGACACGGCCCAGACUCCUACGGGAGGCAGCAGUGGGGAAUAUUGGACAAUGGGCGCAAGCCUGAUCCAGCAAUGCCGCGUGAGUGAUGAAGGCCUUAGGGUUGUAAAGCUCUUUUACCCGGGAUGAUAAUGACAGUACCGGGAGAAUAAGCCCCGGCUAACUCCGUG
RNAcentral lists this ribosomal RNA (436 nucleotides) under uncultured bacterium. Its description in RNAcentral is "partial 16S ribosomal RNA". It matches the Rfam family "Bacterial small subunit ribosomal RNA", at positions 29 to 507 of the family's 1533-position model. The record is from RNAcentral.